Non-coding RNA from Paramuricea clavata, 76 nucleotides. Lineage: Eukaryota; Metazoa; Cnidaria; Anthozoa; Malacalcyonacea; Plexauridae. The record is from the annotation of a GenBank genome assembly.
GACCGCGUAGCUCAGUUGGAAGAGCAUUAAUUGGGCUAGUGUUCCAAAUGUCGUAGGUUCGAAUCCUGCCGUGCCA